This is a long non-coding RNA of Camelus dromedarius (Arabian camel), 5671 nucleotides long. RefSeq lists it as uncharacterized. The record is from RefSeq and is a predicted model, not a curated record. The transcript has 4 exons. NCBI's taxonomy places the organism in Eukaryota, Metazoa, Chordata, Mammalia, Artiodactyla, Camelidae.
UACACCUGCAAGGCAAAAAGAGAAUUAAAUGUUAAUACCACCUUUUAUGGCUUAUGAAAAAAAUUUUUUUUAUUAUAUGAAAAUCGAUUUUUCUAUGUAGAAAAAUGUUUUUUCUUGGAAUUAACUUUUACAUGAUCUAGUUGUACAUGAGCAAAUAUAAUUGACAUGGUCAAAAGUAGUAUAAAUGAGGAUUAGAUCAUUUUAAUGAGGUAUAUGUACAUUUACAGAGAAAAAUCUUAAAAAUAUGCACAAAAUUUUGCUGUUUUGAGUUAAUAAAGUGAGAAUGGAUGGUAAACUCUUAAAAAUUGAGAUAUAAUUGAAAUGACAGUUUCAAGUAUACAACAUGAUUUAAUAUACGUAUAUAUGGCGAAACUGUCACUGCAAUGGGCCCAAGUAACGUGGUUACAAUUUUUUCCUUGUGAUCACUUUUAAGAUUUACUGUUAGCAAAUUUCAGCUACACGGCACAGUGUUAACUAUAGCUGCCAUCCUGUACGCUACAGCCCCAGGGCUGACUGGCUUUAUAAUUGGAAGUUUGUGCUUUCUGGCCGCUUUCACCUAUUUUGCCCGACCAAUGCCUCUGGCAAUCACCAAUCUGUGAGUUUGUUUUUUUAAAGAUUUCACAGGUAAGUGAGAUUACAAGGUAUCAGUCUUUCUGAUUUAUUUCACUUAGCAUAAUGCCCUCAAUGCCUGUCCAUAUUGUCAUAAAUGGCAAGACUUCCUUUUUUAUGGCAGAAUAUAUGAAUAUACCACAUAUCUGUUCAUCCAUCCAAUUAAGUUGCUUUCAUGAAUGCUGCAGUGAACACGGGGGUGCAGAUAUCUUUGCAAGUUAGUGUUUUCAUUUCCUUUGGAUAAAUAUCCAGAAGUAGAAUUACUGGAUCAUAGGGUAGUUCUAUUUUUAAUUUUUUUUGUAGAAUCUCCAUACUAUUUUCCCUAUUGCUGCACCAAUUUAUAUUCCCAUCAACAGAGCACAAACUCCUUUUCCAGGAGACACCAGCUUCCUGGAGGGAGGUGGAGGGACAGGGCAAAGAUGGCACCCACUGGCCUCCAUCUUUGGGAAGUCUUUAACACGCUGUAGGGGCGGACUGAAGCUAGCUGACUGCUCUUUAGGCCGAAGCUUUCAGACAAGGAAAUAGGCCUCUUUCACUGAAAGACUGGGCACUUUUCAGUCAGCUGCCCCAGCGCUGGGCCCUGGGCAUAGCCAGGUAAGUCUGAGUCCUCGAAGACCCGUUUCUCGGUUCACUAUAGCCUUGUUGAUGUGAGCUCUGUCGCUUUCAGAGCUAGAUGUUUUGCAGGCUUGUCUCUUGAUUCAGGUCUUAAAAGUUAGGGUGCCAAAUGUGGGGUUCAAACAUUUGCUUCUUAGGGAGAAGCUUGGAGUUGUAAGUUCCUGACUGUGGGUUGCUGUACCAGAGAUGGGGUUUAUGGCAGGAUUUUGUCUCAGCCUCUCCCAGCCGUUUGGAUGUGGGUUUUUUCUCGUUUAUCCAAUGUGUAGGAGUUGCUCAGGUAGUUUUUUGGUUUCUUUCAGAGACAGUUGUUCCACGUGCAGUUGUAGAUUUGGUAUGUCUGUGGGAGGUGGUGAGUUCAGGAUCCUCCUAUGUCACCAUCUUGAGUCAGAAUUCAGUAAACUUAUUUCUGAUAUAAUAUACAAUACAAUCAAGCUACCAAUCUGAUUUAUCAGUUAAAUUUGUUUGUCAUUGAAUAUUCCAUUUAUAGCACAUAUUACCAAAACUGGAGAACACAGUUGAUAAUCUAAAUCUAUUCCUAUCAUUUCCAAGUUGUUCACUCAGUCACCAAGCUGUACUGCACACUGCCUGCUGUAGGUGGGUUCCAUAAAAUCCUGAACGAAGCUCAGAAAUGCCAAUGUAUUUACAAUAAGACACUUAUCUAUGCAAGGGACUGAAUAGAGUUGUCUCAUGGUCAGGCACACUGCAUGGGAAACAGUUGCCUGGAAGUGUGGACUAGAUUGAGGGAGUUUUAUUUCUACUGGCAGGUGCAAACAUCUACAGGCUCUAUGCGAAGUGCUCACUGUAAAUUUUCUCAUUGAAUCUUCAUAUCCACUCUGUGAGGUAGGCAAUGUUACCACAAUUUUACUGAUGAGGAAACUAAGGUUUUGGAUUAUUAAAUACCCUCCUCAAGCUCACAUAACCAACUAAACAGCACAGCCUGGCUCUAAAUCCACACUAGUGUCCAGAGCCCACACUAUAUCAUACCCCUCACCUCAAAAUUUCAGGAAUACAGUUAAUGAAAAACUCCUCUCUUUUUAAAUCCAAUUUUCCCAGACCAGUUUGCUCACUUCAGUGACAAGUCAUGUUACCUUAAUGACAUAAAUGAGAAAGAGGCCAUGAUGAAAAAAGGACCCUGAACUAUCCCAGUUAUCCUUAGUUACUAUUAUUUACCAGGACAGAAAAAUAUAAGGCACACAUUAGUUUCAUUCAGAAAAGGUUAAAAUGAAAUGUAAAAGUUUUGACAUUUACCAACAAAACUUUUAUCUUGAACGUUAAGUAAACUCCUAAAGCCCAAGUUGCCUUUUACUUUUCCCUAAUUCUUUUUUUUUUUUUCCUGGACCUGACGACAGGUGCACCUGUGUCUCACAGGCUUCUAGAACUCAGCACCUACCAGAGCCUUGUUUCUGGGCGCCGUGGGCCGCUCCCCAAACCUCCGGGUUCAGAUCUGCUCUGAGGAGUUCAGGGGACAGAACAGCAGCAGAGCUCUGAGGACGGGCCCUGGCAAUCUGUUUUAACAAACCCUCCAGGUGAUGAUGAAACAGUAUCAGCCUGUUUUCCUCAUCUUUUGCCAGAUUUCCAGGUCGUUCAACACAUCAAAUCAGAAGUACCCUGGAUUUAACACCCCCAUGUUAAAGUAACACAUAGCAUGCUUUCUCUUAUAUGAACUGAUGGGCGCUGUGUUUCUCACAUGCUGCAGAGAGAAUUCUGAACCAUUGGUUCUGCUACUGAAAAUGAGAUUGAACCUAGAAAACAAAGAGGGGCUUGCACUUUCUCAACCCAAAGAUUUUGCCAGAUGCUCUAUUUUGAAUUAACAGGAAUUAGUAAGAAAAUCUUACAAACCUAUGUGCACUUGUUUUAUAUAUUCAAUCAACGAGUCCUUGUUGUUGUUCCAGAAGCUUGGAAGCAUCUCCUUGCGAGGAUAUUUACAGCAUGACAGCUCCAAUGUAAUUUCAAAACACUGGGCCCAGAUGUAGUUGUAAUCUUGCAUUCCACCUAAACACAAGCAUAUUUCAUUUUUGUUAAGGUCUAAAACUGGAGUGAAGCCAAGUAUCGCGUACCUUGGGGACAGGUGAAUCAGACAGUUGCAGUGAAAGUACAUGUAAACAGGAAAAGAUGAAUUUGACAUAUUAGCAUGUACAGUUAGGGCUUGACAUUUUAUUAUCCAGGCAUGACCAAGCAGUCCUAGAUAUUCCCAUAUGGGCAGCUGAAUCAGAGCUGACUGACAUUCAGGUCUGCAUCAAAAUGAAGUGAGAAGCAGGGGAAGGGUCCUUUUUUUUCCUACAAUCAUACAUUAAAAAAAAGGAUUCUUCGAAUUACAUUUCUUUCCGAAAUUAAAUCUUAAACGGAUAUAAACUAGAGUGAGAUGUCAUUCAUAAACACACUUAUUCUGUAAAGCUCAGUAUACUAAUUUGGAGGAAUAAUAGCAGCUAAUGUUUACUGAGAGUUCGCUCUUAGUGCUGUUUGAGCAGCUUUGUUAUCAACUCAUUUAAUCCUCAUGACGAUUAUCACCCAUAUUUUACAGAGGAGGAAACUUAAUCAGAAACAGUAGGUAACACACCCAGGAUUCUUGCCAGUGAAUGGCAGAGACCGACGCGCGGGCCAUCUUCCUCCAGCCCCGGGGCUCGCACCCGCUGCUCUGCACUGCGUCGAGGGUAAGAGGAGGAGGCACUGCUGACCCUUGGGAGGGGAGAGCCACGCCUCUGCUGCUCCUGAGGCUACCCCUGCCCGUGCUUGCGUCCCAGCUCUUACCUCUUGACACCCUAUUGUCAAAGGGUUAUAAUCUUACUUCCUAAGAUGUAAAACUUUUCAUAGUUUAAAAGCUCUGACUUCAGGUGUAUCUUACAGUGGAUGAGUGAAAGACAUCCUGGUGUUAUUAGGCUGGAAAUUUCUUUCUUGCUUGCUGGGACUUGUACUUUACAAUCAGCAGCAUCUUGAAUUCGAUGAAAUCUAGUAACUUUGAAGGAAGUAGUCUCUGCCAGAUUUUAAUUAGCUACACUUGAUAUCUGCCCAGUACAAUAUGUAUUCUCAAUUCCAUCAGGGUAUUUGGGAAGUAAAGAAGUAAAAAAGAUUUUUAUGCUCAGAAAAUGGUAAAAAUAUUAUGUAAAUAUCGAGUAACAUCCAGCCAGGAAGAAUUUCUCUGUCCUUUCUUUUCCUUUACUUAGAAAUUUUGUAUUUGUCUUGGACCUCGGUUUCACCAAGAAGUAGAAGAUGGAAAAAAAGAAGAGAGAAACAAAAUAAAACGAAAGUCCUUGGCUGGAUGGCUGUGUCUCAGUUCCUGGCUCCCAGGUAAAUGCUGAACAAGCGUCCGAACUAAGGAGGCCUUGGCAGUGGGAACAUGUUGGAGCACCUCUCCAACGACCAGUACCCCCACUGCUCUGUGAUACUAGCUGACAGAGACACGAGUGAGAGGACUGUCCUGUGCCUGGCCAACUUCUGCCUACUGCAGGGUCAACACAAGCCAGCGGGGCGAAGUUACAAUGAGAACAGUAGAACGGAGAAGCUCACCUCUGAGUGGAUACCAGAAGUAUCCAUUUAUAAUUCCACUCUGAGACUCUAAUUUAGCUUUACAUGGAUUUCUUUCCUUCAUGGUGGGAUUUCUUGAAGCGUAGGUAUGUGCAAGAUAUUGAAAAACAUCGUCAUCAGGGGUUAAGCUCCGGGAGUAUAAUGUCCCAGUCGCUGUACAUGAAAGACAAACCAAGACCUUUUAGUUGAUGUGAGAGUCAGAGGAAGCACACACCGUAUUAGCAAAUACAUCACCACAUCCCACACACAGGCUCCAGUUUCCUAGAGAGAAGUCCUCUACCCACUUCCACGAAUGCUCCCUCUACUCUCCUUCCUAGUGUUUAACGGACAUAGACAAGGUGAUAGCACACAAAACCAUAUUCAUGUCCAAACGCCGCCUCAGUCAGCUUAAAAGUUAGUUACUUUUGCUGAUUUCCUUAGGUACUGGAGGGGUUAAAGGAAGCUGCUCAAAUAUUUUAAGUCCUUGGUACGUACCUCAACCCACAGCUUUAAGAGUAAUCAGCAAUUAUUACUCACAUGAUUCACUUUAUUUUCUUUUAGCCAUGUUGCCUCUUGUGGGAUAAUCUAAAUCCCAGUUGUACUAUUUCACUGAUGAAUGUCAAGUAAUCCCACUGUUGGUUGUCAGUUUAGCCACCUUGCCAUCCACCAUUUAUAAACUGUAGGAAGGACAGCUAGGGUCGAGGGAAGGGGCUGCUUCUACCCCUGCCAGAGAAGUUAAGUGGGGAGAGGAAGAGUUUAUUCCCCUUCAGAGGCAGAGAGUUUGUAGCUUCACUCUGGACUUAGAAGGCCAGAGCUGGGCCCAUGUUCACUUACCUGGAACACCAUUAUCAAACGGGUAACUGGCCACCAGGGCACCACCGUGAAGGUUUGCAGAGAGGACAAACGUCUCUGUAUUCAGCCACUUCAUGACCGCCACAGUUUCAGG